Molecule: long non-coding RNA, 287 nt
Filed under: Glycine max (soybean)
Lineage: Eukaryota; Viridiplantae; Streptophyta; Magnoliopsida; Fabales; Fabaceae
Description: long non-coding RNA (GMAX_LNC001122)
Source: RNAcentral
CAGUUUUGAGUUUCCUCUUUCCACUGUAUAUAUAAUAAGACCAUUCUCUCAGCCUAGCUAAUAAGAUUUGUGAGAGAAAGGGAGAAAGGGUGUGAGAAUGGAGAGCAAAGAGGAAGAUGUAAGGGUUGGAGCAACUAAGUUCUCAGAAAGGCAACCAAUUGGUACAGCAGCUCAGGGUGACAAGGACUACAAAGAACCACCCCCAGCACCUUUGUUUGAGCCUGGUGAGCUAAAGUCAUGGUCCUUCUACAGAGCUGGAAUUGCUGAGUUUGUGGCCACUUUCUUGU